GCCCUGCUAGCUCAGUGGUAGAGCGUGUCACUAGUAAGCAUCAGCUUCUAUGACAAGGUCAGUCGUUCAAGUCGGCUGUGGGGCA
Molecule: non-coding RNA, 85 nt
Organism: Schizophyllum commune H4-8
Lineage: Eukaryota; Fungi; Basidiomycota; Agaricomycetes; Agaricales; Schizophyllaceae
Source: Rfam